AGUUUAUCCCGUGGUGAUUUGGCCGGCCGGCUUGCAGCCACGAUAGAUUAUAUGUGAUUAUAAACAAAAUUUC
RNAcentral lists this non-coding RNA (73 nucleotides) under Attibartonella tamiae. RNAcentral also lists the same sequence under 1 other name. Lineage: Bacteria; Pseudomonadati; Pseudomonadota; Alphaproteobacteria; Hyphomicrobiales; Bartonellaceae. The record is from RNAcentral.